GGCCAAAUAAAACCAGAGUUAUGAUAAAUUAUGUCCGUGAUACUUUUUUUCUGCUUAUUUUGAUCACGUUCGGCGCUCGAUCGCGCUGUAUGAGACAGGAAAACAUAGCAUGCAGACAUUAGCGACAGGUCUUACAGGCGGAAAAGGCUUGCCAAAGAAAAAAAAAACACACCACAACAUCUCUCCUAUUGGUGGAAAACUUCACCACAACAACCAAUCCAAAAUUAUAUGGUGACUGAUUGACAAGGGGCGGGCGCUUACGUUCUUCCUGCAACAUGAGAAGGGAGGGAGGAACUCUCAGCAGGGAUGCAGUCUGGGACACGUAGUUGCAAACCUAGCGACUUUGUUGUUAGAUUCAAUGACUUUUCAGACCCCCUAACGACUUUUUUUUAGAAAGAAAGGGACUUUUAUCGACUUCUUCUGGAGUUUAGAGACUCUGACAUGAAGCAGGCUUUCCUUACUGAGGAGUUAGCAACGCUGCUAAGGGUGCAGAGCCACACAUGCGCUCCGAGCUCUGCAUGGGAGACUAAAGCUGACAGAGCUGCAGCAGUUAGCAGGUUUCACCCUCAGAGACCACCAGGGGUUCAUGUUGAGGCAUUUUCAGUUUUUUUUUUUUUUUUGCCAUAGACACUGUCAGCACAAUCUGCAGUUACACUAACAAAAAUGCUGCAAAAAACAAAGAAUUAUGGAAAAAUUACACAUGGACUGACAUAGAGGAGGAUCUACACAAGUUUUUUACAUCAUGUUUUACAUCAUGCAUCAUUUACAUCAUGUUUUUUUGUAGUGGCAUAAAUAAAAAGUGACAUUUGUGAGACUAUACAGUGUUUUGUAAAUAAUUUUACAAAGAACGCCUGGGCCAUUGCCUGCAUUUUGAUGUAAAUAGAGGUAAAUUACUAUGUUCUUUGUUAAAAAUUUGCAUAUGUUUUGAAGUUUACAAUUUUUAUUUGAAGUUUAAGUUUUAAAAACAGUUCAUCACACAUAUUUGUGGUUUAAUUUCACAUUAAUUUCCAUAUUGUAUAAAUGACUGGAAAAAACUUGAGCCCCUGCCCCUGUAUAAUCAUGUGCACGUCCCUGUUCUAGCUCCAAGGUGAAUCUUCACUGCUCAUGUUCUCCUCAGAAAUAGUCACCUCACUCCCCUCAGGUUACUGUACACAUGCACCAACUAUCUGCUUCAGGUUUGGAUGGAGCUUCAUGGUUGUCUUUUGGAGAAAUGAACAGUCAAGUUGUGUUUGAAAUUUGAUUUUUUUCAGGGGCAAAAGGAAGCCUCUGCAUUCUUGUCAAAUAUGUAAACAGCAUGUUUUUGCAGGUGCUAAAAAACAGACUCUGAGUGUGUGUGUGUGUGUGUGUGUGUGUGUGUGUGUGUGUGUGUGUGUGUGUGUGUGUGUGUUGGCGUGUGUGUAUAUGUGUGUGUGUCCGGCAGUACUCUGUACUCCUGCAGUGGCCAAAAAGACUUUUAAGAAUGUGGAUUUUUGGGUCAUCUUUGGCGCCCCCUAGAACUGCAGUACUCUGUACUCCUGCAGUGGCCAAAAUGACUUUUAAGAAUGUGGAUUUUUGGGUCAUCUUUGGCGCCCCCUAGAACGUAAACCGUGGGGUGCAGCGUCAUGAUUUUUACAACUUUGAAUGGCCAUGGGGUGUAGAUUGCCCUGAGCAAAUUUGGGAUCGGUGGGACGAAAGCCUUAGGAGGAGAUAGCCACAUUCCAAUGUGUGCGAAUCGGCAAAAAAUGCGAAAUAGCCCUUUAACCAUACAUUUGACAGAUACGUGCCUAUUGACUUUUUUGUAGAUCUUAUUGAGAUACACGUGAUUGUCAAAUUGUGUGUCAAUAUGACGAAGUGUAUAGGCGUGACACUCAACAAUGUGUAUUUUUACCUUAGGAGACAAGAAAAAAUGGACUUUUUUCUCCUGCCAUGGGGGGGCGCUCUUUUGGGGAGUAAAAAUUCCUUCACAAAUGUGUUGAUGGCUGGACAUUGCAUCAUCCUAGAAAACUUGGAGGCCAGUGAGGACAAAAAUAAAAAGUUAUAAGACUUUUAAGAAUGUGGAUUUUUGGGUCAUCUUUGGCGCCCUCUAGAACGUAAACCGUGGGGUGCAGCGUCAUGAUUUUUACAACUUUGAAUGGCCAUGGGGUGUAGAUUGCCCUGAGCAAAUUUGGGAUCGGUGGGACGAAAGCCUUAGGAGGAGAUAGCCACAUUCCAAUGUGUGCGAAUCGGCAAAAAAUGCGAAAUAGCCCUUUAACCAUACAUUUGACAGAUACGUGCCUAUUGACUUUUUUGUAGAUCUUAUUGAGAUACACGUGAUUGUCAAAUUGUGUGUCAAUAUGACGAAGUGUAUAGGCGUGACACUCAACAAUGUGUAUUUUUACCUUAGGAGACAAGAAAAAAUGGACUUUUUUCUCCUGCCAUGGGGGGGCGCUCUUUUGGGGAGUAAAAAUUCCUUCACAAAUGUGUUGAUGGCUGGACAUUGCAUCAUCCUAGAAAACUUGGAGGCCAGUGAGGACAAAAAUAAAAAGUUAUAAGACUUUUAAGAAUGUGGAUUUUUGGGUCAUCUUUGGCGCCCUCUAGAACGUAAACCGUGGGGUGCAGCGUCAUGAUUUUUACAACUUUGAAUGGCCAUGGGGUGUAGAUUGCCCUGAGCAAAUUUGGGAUCGGUGGGACGAAAGCCUUAGGAGGAGAUAGCCACAUUCCAAUGUGUGCGAAUCGGCAAAAAAUGCGAAAUAGCCCUUUAACCAUACAUUUGACAGAUACGUGCCUAUUGACUUUUUUGUAGAUCUUAUUGAGAUACACGUGAUUGUCAAAUUGUGUGUCAAUAUGACGAAGUGUAUAGGCGUGACACUCAACAAUGUGUAUUUUUACCUUAGGAGACAAGAAAAAAUGGACUUUUUUCUCCUGCCAUGGGGGGGCGCUCUUUUGGGGAGUAAAAAUUCCUUCACAAAUGUGUUGAUGGCUGGACAUUGCAUCAUCCUAGAAAACUUGGAGGCCAGUGAGGACAAAAAUAAAAAGUUAUAAGACUUUUAAGAAUGUGGAUUUUUGUGUUAUCUUUGGCGCCCCCUAGAAAGUAAACCGUGGGGUGCAGCAUCAUGAUUUGUACAACUUUUAAUGGCCAUGGGGUGUAGAUUGGCCUGAGCAAAUUUGGUGCCGGUGGAACGAAAGCCUUCGGAGGAGUUAGCGAAAUUCCAAUGUGUGCGGAUCGGCAAAAAAAGCGAAAUAGCCCUUUAACCGUACAUUUGGCAGAUACGCCCGCACUGACUUUUUCGUAGAUCUUAUUGAGAUACACAUGUGUGUCAAAUUUUGUGUCAUUUUGACAAAGCGUACAGGCAUCAGGUGAGUUUUCACCAUAGGGGGCGCUAUGGAGCCAUUUUUCAUUUUUUUGUUUGGACGACUUCAGAAUAUCAAAUUUUUCACCAGGCCCGGUCGUCCUGCCAAAUUUCCUGAGUUUUCGCCAGUGGGAAGUGGGCCAUUUUCCAGUUUAAAGCGGAGGAAAAAUAACGAAAGAAGAAUCCAUCAGGAACAAGAGGGCUCUCGCAGCUGCUUAGCAGCUACGCUCGGGCCCUAAAGAAAGAAAGAAAGAAAGAAAGAAGAAAGAAAAACCUAUACAGGAAUAAUAGGGCUCUACGCCCGGCUGCUCUGCAGCUGGCUCGGGCCCUAAUAACAAAAGAAGGAAACUACAGGAACAAGAGGGCUCUCGCAGCUGCUUAGCAGCUACGCUCGGGCCCUAAUAAUAACUAGGGCCCCGGUGGGGCACUGUCGGGCCCGAGCCGCGUCGUGCCGCCCCCAGCGUGACCGCCUCCCCCUCCCGAUCGCGUCACACUCAAGGUCCAAAGAUGGUGUGCGCACUUGUCUGUGGUCAUUUCCCAUUAUAAUGAAUGGGAGGCGCAGUUUCUACCAAAACACUCGCUGCAGACAAACUUCAUGUCCUAUUUGAAAAAAGUCUGGACCAUGAGUGAGGGCACAAACACAGCUGGGAUAUAUCCAAAUGGCAGGUUGCUCCUCGUUACGGUGUUGCCUGGAGAGCGAUGCGAUUGAGCCAUUGAGCGAUGGGCAGGAAAAACUUGACUUUUUCUCCUGCCAUGGGGGGGGAGAAUGUGGAUUCUUUUAAGAAUGUGGAUUUUUUGGUCAUCUUUGGCGCCCCCUAGAACGUAAACCGUGGGGUGCAGCGUCAUGAUUUUUACAACUUUGAAUGGCCAUGGGGUGUAGAUUGGCCUGAGCAAAUUUGGUUUCAGUGGGACGAAAGCCUUAGGAGGAGUUAGCCACAUUCCAAUGUGUGCGAAUCGGCAAAAAAUGCAAAAUAGCCCUCUAACCGUACAUUUGACAGAUACGCACCCAUUGACUUUUUCGUAGAUCUUAUUGAGAUACACGUGAUUGUCAAAUUUUGUGUCAAUAUGACAAAGCGUACAGGUGUCACACUCAACAAUGUGAAUUUUCACCUUACGGGACAAGAAAAAAUGGACUUUUUUCUCCUGCCAUGGGGGGGCGCUCUUUUGGGGAGUAAAAAUUCCUUCACAAAUGUGUUGAUGGCUGGACAUUGCAUCAUCCUAGAAAACUUGGAGGCCAGUGAGGACAAAAAUAAAAAGUUAUAAGACUUUGAAAUAUGUGGAUUUUAGGGUUAUCUUUGGCGCCCCCUAGAACCUAAACCGUGGGGUGCAGCGUCAUGAUUUGAAUAAAUUUUAAUGGCCAUGGGGUGUAGAUUGGCCUGAGCAAAUGUGGUGCCGGUGGAAAGAAAGCCUUCGGAGGAGUUAGCGAAAUUCCAAUGUGUGCGGAUCGGCAAAAAAUGCGGAAUAACCCUUUAACCGUACAUUUGACAGAUACGCCCGCACUGACUUUUUUGUAGAUCUUAUUGAGAUACAUAUGUGUGUCAAUUUUUGUGUCAUUUUGACAAAGCGUAAAGGCGUGACAGUCAAUAGUGUGAAUUUUCACCUUAGGGGGCGCUAUGGAGCCAUUUUGCAUUUUCUUGUUUGGGCGACUCCGGAAUAUCAAAUUUUUCACCAGGCCCGGUCAUCCUGCCAAAUUUCAUGAGUUUUCGCCAGUGGGAAGUGGGCCAUUUUCCAGUUCAAAGGGGAGGAAAAAGAAGAAAGAAAGAAAGAAAGAAAGAAACAAAGAAAAACCACUUGGGGAAUAAUAGGGCUCUCGCAGCUGCUUAGCAGCUACGCUCGGGCCCUAAUAACUAGGACCCCGUUGGGGCACUGGCGGGCCCGAGCCGUGUCACGUCUCCCCCCCCC
Non-coding RNA from Xyrichtys novacula (pearly razorfish), 5210 nucleotides. The record is from the annotation of a GenBank genome assembly. NCBI's taxonomy places the organism in Eukaryota, Metazoa, Chordata, Actinopteri, Labriformes, Labridae.